UGCAAGCAGCAGACCAAUUCCCUUGCCANUAAUACAUUAGCAUGGGAUAAUGGAAUANGCGAACCCUGUUNCUCCUAUUUUCAAGUUGGUUNAAUGGCAGCUGCGAAGGAACUACGGUAAUGAUUAAUAAGUGGAUAGUUGGGGGCACUUAAUAUUUAAUUGUCACGAGUGUGAAAUUCUUGGGAAUUUAUGCAACACGACUUAACUUCUGCGCAAAAGCACUCUUGUGCCACAGGGGAUGGUUUUCACUUAAAUCACAGAACGCAAAAAGUUACGGGGAAUCGCAAGAACGCAAAUCACGAAAUAUACCGCGUCGUAAGAUCUUUAAACCAUAUAAACGAAAUGUCCCGCAANACACCACAGAGCGGAAAUUAUUAAUAGAUGAAGANAAACAACGGNUUUUUGGAGCAAGAUUUAUUCCUACUACAAAAAACAANACACCCACAGCCCAACAAUACCCGUAGGGUAUGUAACCAGGGGGUACCAGAUUACCCAUNUUAUUGUUGGAGCAGGGAUUAACAUAUCGCAAUAGANAUANCCCNAUUAUUACAAGAGCAGANAGGCAGGGGGGGCAGCAGAUGAUAGACANNAGAUGGAACCGGAAGAGGUUCGGAAUAAGUNGGACGUACUAUAAAAAUCGACCGACCAGGAGGACUCGGUGNUAAGUGAACNCAAGGAGGGAUAUNUAAUACAAUAAGGAAAAC
Molecule: ribosomal RNA, 704 nt
Filed under: Acanthamoeba sp. ID19
Lineage: Eukaryota; Discosea; Longamoebia; Acanthamoebidae
Description: partial 18S ribosomal RNA
Source: RNAcentral